RNAcentral lists this ribosomal RNA (251 nucleotides) under uncultured prokaryote. Its description in RNAcentral is "partial 16S rRNA". It matches the Rfam family "Bacterial small subunit ribosomal RNA", at positions 525 to 775 of the family's 1533-position model. The record is from RNAcentral.
AAGAAGGGGGCAAGCGUUGUUAGGAAUAACUGGGCGAAAAGGGUGCGUAGGAGGUUAUGUAAGUCGGAUGUGAAACCCCCUGGCUUAACUAGGGAUCUGAAUUAGAAACUGCAUAGCUUGAGUACGGGGGAAGAGAGUGGAAUUCUCAGUGUAGCGGUGAAAUGCGUAGAUAUUGAGAAGAACACCUGUGGCGAAAGCGGCUCUCUACCUUGAUACUGACACUGAGGCACGAAAGCUAGGGUAGCAAACGG